GGCGAGCACGAGACCGGGCCCACGUCCCAGCCUCUCUCGCUUAUGGAACACACGUAAGCACACGCACGCCGGCGGCCCGCGCGUCGGCGACGAUCUAGCCGAAGUGGUGGUGCUUCUUCUCGCCGCUGGCCUCCUUGGCCUCCUUGUGGUCCUGCUUCUUCUCGUGGUGCUCGUGGAAGACGAAGCCGCCGGCACCGACGGCCGCGGCGGCGGCCAGCUCCUCCUCGAUCUUGUGCUUGUGCGCGUGUUCCGGGUCCUUCUUCGCCUCGUGCUUCUCGUACUGCACGUGGACAAGCAGUUCAUUAGCCAAGCCCGGAAAGACAUGAACUACGUAUAUAUCUAUAUACGCGUAUGGGUAAAUAGUUACGAUGAGAGAGAGAGAGCGUACGAGGGCGAAGGCUCCGGCGGCGACGGCGCCCAUCUCGCCGAGGUGCUCCUUGUGCUUGUGGUGCUUCUCCUCCUUGGUGAUCCGCUCGUACUCGCCCUCGUUGCCGGUGCCGGUCACCACCGUCUCGGUCGAGUACCCGUACACGUCGGCGCCGCCAUCAGCGGCGGGCUGGAAGUCCUCGCCCUCCUUCUUGUGGUGGAACAGGUGGUGGUGGUGCUUCUCCUCCGCCAUGGCCGCCGGCUGAUCGAUUAACUAGCUUGUAUGUGUGCGUGUAUGUGACAGUGGGACAGCUUCUUAUCUGCUUGGUCUGUGUAGGCUUCCUACUGGCCGGGUUUUAUAGGCUGAGGCGACUGUUGGAAUGGACGGUGGAACUAACCGUUCCGUUCCACGGGUUAUGGAUACUGGAUCCAUCAAAUAUACAGUACGUAUGCAUACGAUUGUGAUCUGCUUUAUGUACGUGUCCCGGAGUCAUUGGAGGCUUGGAGCCCAAGCACUCAGGCAACCACAGGACAGGGGGCCACGUUCUGAUGGCCAACGGUGCAGCGCCCCACCACCUUCUUGGCACUUGGCAGAGUUGCAGCUUGGGGUAGCUUACAUGUGAGUAACAAAAGUUUAGAGAAGUGUCGGCAUGCACGGAUUGGCUGACGGUGAUGUGGCACCGCGCACGCCUUUCCCUGCUCCCCGCGUCCACUAUCCAGCAACCUUUACUCGUAUGUAAUUACGUGUGCGCAUUAUUACUUUUUCUUUUUUGAGAAGUACUCCGUAGUACUAUUUGUGAAAAGUAAAAACGAGAGAGAGGAUAAAAAUGAUGGAACCGUUGCUUUCAUUGAUGGAUUGGGAGUAUAUAUACCCCUGAUACAAGGCAGUUACAAAGAGGCAGUUGCUACUAGUAGCAACCGACAUAGCGGGGAUUAACCCUUUAAUUAAUCUAAUUAAUUUAUUUCUAACACUCCCCCUAAUCACUGCUUGUCUUGGAUAUUUAUUAUCUUGAUAAAGACUCCUCUUUGUAUGUGUCUUUAAGAAUGUCCAUCAUCUUCGUGAAAGCCUUUGUAUAAUCUUGAAAGUCUUCCCAAAAAACCCUGUGGGAAAAAAUAUGAGGAGAAUAGUGUAGGUAUGUUGCUAAAACUCCUUUAAACCCGGUGGGAAAAUAAUAAGGAGAAAAUAAUGCAACAUAUAAUGAUUAUUGUCUCUUGAUAACUCAAUCGAGAAAACCUUUGAAGAAGGAGAAAAAUCAAUUGUGAGUUUAGAGAACAAUUAAUAUGUCUUUAAUACUUUCUUUAAAAAAACCCAAUAGGGAAAAUAGAAAGUAUGGCAUAUGAUUUUGAUAAUAUAUUGCCUCAUUAAAAACCUUUUUAUGAGAAAACUGAUGCAAAACUCAUAAAGGAAAAGAGUACAAUUAUUAUCUGAUGAUAAUUAAUGGGUUAUGAGUCUAGGAAUUUCUCCCCCUGAAAUUUGCAAAUCUCGAAAACGUCUCAUACCAAUUCCAUGAAUAUAUUUCUGGAAUGUUGAAUUUGGUAAAGACUUUGUGAACAAAUCUGCUAGAUUGUCGCAUGAUUUGGUUUGCAAAAUAUCAAUUUCUCCAUCCUUUUGUAAUGCAUGAGGAUAGAAUAACUUAGGAGAAAUGUGUUUUGUGAUAUUACUUUUCACAUAACCCAUUUGCAUUUGAGCAAUGCAGGCUGCAUUAUCUUCAUAUAUAAUAGUUGGUGAUCCUAAUGAACCAACACCACAUGAAGUUUGAAUAUGGUUAAUCAUCCUGCGAAGCCAUACACAUUCUUUAGAUGCUUCAAAUAAUGCAAUAAUUUCAGAAUGAUUAGUGGAUGUUGCUACGAGAGUCUGUUUUGUUGACUUCCAUGAAAAAACAGUUCCACCAUAUAAGAAUACGAAACCUGUUUGUGACCUGGCAUUGUGAGGAUCAGAUAGAUAGCCAGCAUCAGUAUAUCCUACCAUAGUCAUAUCUUGGUUUUUCUGAUAGAAUAAGCCAAGAUCUUUUGUGCCAUGUAAAUAUCUAAGGAUAUUCUUUACUCCCGUCCAAUGACGUUUUGUUGGAGCAGCGCUAUGUCUAGCUAGUAAAUUUACCGCAAAUGCAAUAUCAGGCCUGGUGCAAUUUGCAAGGUACAUUAGCGCACCAAUGGCACUGAGAUACGGGAACUCAGGUCCUAAUAUCUCUUCGUCAUCAUCCCGAGGUCUAAAAGGAUCUUUAUUCAUAUCAAGGGAUCUGACAACCAUGGGUGUUUUGGUUGGAUAUGAUUUAUCCAUAUUAAAUUUUUCCAAAACCUUUUGAAUAUAUGCAGGUUGGUAUACUAAAAUUCCUGAGGGAAGAUGCUCAAGCUGUAAGCCUAAGCAGAAUUUGGUCUUUCCCAAAUCUUUCAUCUCAAAUUCCGCCAUUAGAUGAUUGCGUGCUUCUUCGAUAUCAGGUCUACAUCCAAUGAUAUUGAGGUCAUCAACGUACACUGAGAUGAUGCAAAAUCCAUUUGGGGAUUUCUUUAUAAAUACACAAGGGCAAUCAUCAUUAUUUGAGUAGCCUUUUUGAAUAAGGAACUCACUCAGCCGGUUAUACCACAUUCUACCCGACUGUUUUAAGCCAUAUAGUGACUUUUGUAAUUUUACACAAUAUGCGUUGCGAUUUGCUUUUGGAUUCGGCAUUUUAAGUCCUUCAGGGACUUUCAUAUAUAUAUCCGAUUUGAGUGACCCAUAUAAGUAUGUUGUCACUACAUCCAUCAACUGCAUAGAUAAAUUCAUUUGUACUGCCAAAGAUAUUAAGUAUCGAAACGUUAUUCCACUCAUUACAGGAGAGUAUGUAUCAUCGUAAUCGAUGCCGGGUCUCUGCGUGAACCCUUGUUCUACAAGCCUCGCUUUGUAUCUCACCACCUCAUUGUUUUCAUUCCUUUUUCGAACAAAAACCCAUUUUGCUCCAACAGGGAAGACAUUGUGAGGAGUAGGUAUUACUGAGGAAAAUACCUCUCUUUUGUUGAGCGAGCGCAGUUCUGCCUCAAUUGCUUCCUUCCAUUUAGGCCAAUCAGGACGCUUGAGGCACUCCCUGACGGUCUUUGGUUCUGGAUCCAGUUGAAGGGUUUCAGCAAUUUCAGAGGCGAAAUAUAUGUCGACAAUUGUAGUCUCUCUAUUAUAUGAUUCUCCUAAUUCUGUAUAGUUUAUGGAAAUUUCUUUUAUACCUUCAGACUCUAUGUGAUUUCCCACAACAAUAGAAUCAUGGUGUUCCGAUGUCCCAGCAAUUAUGUUUUUAUGCGCAUUUAUGCUUGGUUCAAGAUGUUGAGCAUCUGGUUGGUGUCCUUCAACUUGAGGUUGAAUUGCAUUUACUGGUAGAGGAUUUGAUUUCCUCUGUUUCCGCGGAGGCUUUUGAGAAGCUAUAUUCCGACUAACCAGAUUUCUCCCCCUCUUACUCUCAUUUGGGGUUUGAGUGGUUUUAGUUGGUACCUCCACUCGUUCUGGUGCAUUAACAGCGGGAAUAUGUGAUUUAGUGACACCUUUAUGGUGAGUAAAUGCAUCUGGCAGAUUAUUUGCAAUGUGUUGCAAAUCUAUGAUCCUGUGAACUUCAGUUUCAGAUUCUUUAGUACGUGGAUCUAAGGACUGAAUGCCUGUUACAUUCCAAUCUAUUUCCUGGCAUUCUUUGUGGUUUGAUUCUCCCCCUAAUGCCGGGGAAUGGUCCUCAUCAAAAAUAGAAUCAGCGUAACGGGCAGUAAACAGGUCCCCUGUAAGAGGUUCAAGAUAUUUAAUAAUUGACGGAGAAUUAUAACCCACAUAGAUCCCUAGUUUUCUGUGGGGGCCCAUGGAUGUACGCUGCGGUGGUGAUAUCGGUACGUAUACUGCGCAACCGAAUUUUCGCAGAUGGGAAAUACUUGGCUGAGUGCCACGUACUAGUUGUAGCGGGGAGGUUGUAUGAUAUGCAGUUGGUCUGAUUUGUAUCAGAUCUGCGGCGUGUAAUACCGCAUGUGCCCAACAAGAUGCUGGUAAAUUACAAUUCUGUAAUAGUGGUCGAGCAACUAAUUUUACUCUUUUGAUGAGAGAUUCAGCCAAACCAUUUUGAGAUUCUGCGGCGGUUCUGGCGGUGGUUCCCGGCGAAGAAGCGGCGAUGAGGGCCACUCCGGUUCUGGCGGUGGUUCCUGGUGAAGGAACGGCGGCGAGGGCCAUUCCUUGCACCAAGGCCCUCACGGCGACGUGCAAUGCGGUGGCGCUGCGUGCGAGUGAAGCGGCUGUCUUCUUUCUGCAGGAAACGUGCGAAAGCAAAAGCAAGCGAGGACAAAUCUCUCCCUGCCAUUCUCACCUUUCUCUUGGCUCUCUGUCGCUCUCGGCAGAGCAAGUGCUGAUAACGUGUGAAAAGUAAAAACGAGAGAGAGGAUAAAAAUGAUGGAACCGUUGCUUUCAUUGAUGGAUUGGGAGUAUAUAUACCCCUGGUACAAGGCAGUUACAAAGAGGCAGUUGCUACUAGUAGCAACCGACAUAGCGGGGAUUAACCCUUUAAUUAAUCUAAUUAAUUUAUUUCUAACACUAUUAUUGGAAAACAUGCAUACACAUGCAGAUGUUUGGAUUUUUUCACUGUUUUGACCUUACAUGUAAACAUGAGCACAAAAUGAACUCAGUCUGAAAAUAUUUUUGGAUCUGACCUUUCUUUAAAACGCCAGAGUCCGUCGCGUUGCUGCUCCACGUAGAAACGCCAGACUAACGUGGCGUUUUUGAUCUACAUUCAAACGUCAGUCUACUGGACGUUGCAGCAUAUAUAGAAACGCCAAGUUCAGUCUGUUGUAAGUUGAAUCGAGAGAAACAAAUGAAUCAAUUGUCACUUUAUUCCUUGAUGAUUGAACACUUUAUAUGCCAGGGAAAGACGGUUCCCGGAGGCGACGCUCCAGGAACAAUACGCCGGUUCCGCAUCGUGGGGGGAAUUCACGUGCGGUUACAAGUAGAGAUUAAUUUAACUAAUUACAUAAUUAAUUAAAUUCUAACACUCCCCCUAAUCUAUACUUGUCCAUGAGCGUGUCCAUCAUCUUGAAAUAGUCUCCUCCAAAAACCCUGUGGGAAAAAUAUAAGGAGUGGUGUAGUAUAUGCGGCUAAAACUCCUUCAAACCCUGUGGGGAAAUAAGGAGAAAAUGAUAUAGCAUAUAAUGCGUAUUGCCUCUGUUAACUCUAUAUGAAAUGUAUCCAUAGAAUAAGAGGACAAUAAAUAUGUCGUAUAUACUUUCCUAAAAACCCCGGUGGGGAAAACAGAUAGUAUGACAUAUGAUCUUAUGUUGAUAUUACCUCAUUAAAAACCUCGAUGAGAACCUAUAAAGUAAACUCAUAAAGGGAAAAGAGUGUAAUAUGAUGCUUUGAACAGGAAGAGUUCAGGAAGAGACUCCCCCUGACUCUUGCAAAUCUCGGAGCCGUCGCAUACCAAUUCCAUGAAUGUAUUUCUGGAAUGUUGAAGCUGGUAGAGACUUCGUGAAAAGAUCAGCUAGAUUAUCGCAUGACUUGACUUGCAAGAUGUUGAUUUCACCACUUUUCUGGAGUUCAUGGGGAUAAAACAACUUAGGGGCAAUAUGCUUAGUGAUAUUGCUCUUUAUGUAUCCUGUUUGCAUCUGUGCAACACAAGCCGCAUUAUCUUCAUAGAUAAUGGUAGGUGAUUUGAUAGAACCAAUUCCACGUGACUGUUGUAUGUGGUUUAUCAUUCUGCGAAGCCACGUGCAUUCACGUGAUGCCUCAUAUAAAGCAAUUAUUUCAGAAUGAUUGGUAGAUGUUGCAACUAGGGUCUGUUUUGAAGACUUCCAUGAUAUAGCAGUUCCACCAUGUAGGAACACAAAGCCGGUCUGCGAUCUGGCAUUAUGGGGAUCAGAUAAAUAGCCAGCAUCUGUAUAUCCAAUUAUACCAGAGUCUAGUUUUUUCUGGAACUGAAUAGGCCAAGAUCCUUUGUGCCUUGGAGAUAUCGAAAGACAUUCUUGACUCCCGACCAAUGGCGUUUGGUGGGAGCUGCGCUGUGUCUAGCAAGUAGAUUUACUGCAAAUGCGAGGUCAGGUCUCGUGCAAUUUGCUAGAUACAUAAGCGCUCCAAUUGCACUGAGAUAUGGAACCUCGGGUCCAAAAAUCUCUUCACCAUCAUCCCUUGGCCUGAACGGAUCUUUCUCUACGUCUAGAGAUCGAACCACCAUGGGAGGUUUAGAUGGGUAGGAUUUGUCCAUAUUGAAUUUCUCCAAUAUUUUCUGGAUAUAGGCAGCUUGGUGUACCAUUAUUCCUGAGGUAAGGUGCUCGAGUUGGAGACCCAAGCAAAAUUUGGUUUGGCCCAAAUCCUUCAUCUCAAAUUCCAUCUUUAGGUGAUUGCGUGCUUCAUCAAUAUCUGGUGUACAGCCGAUGAUGUUGAGAUCAUCAACAUACACAGAAAUGAUGCAAAAUCUUGUAGACGACUUCUUGAUGAAGACACAUGGGCAAUCAUCACUAUUGGAGUAACCUUUCUGAAGAAGGAACUCACUUAGUCGGUUGUACCACAUCCGCCCCGACUGUUUUAAGCCAUACAAUGACUUAUUCAGCUUUACACAAUACAUGUUGCGUUUUGCAUUGUUACUCGGGACAGAGAUUCCGUCAGGAACCUUCAUAUAUAUGUCCGAAUCUAGUGACCCGAAAAGAUAUGCGGUCACGACGUCCAUCAACUGCAUGGAUAGACGAUUUUGUACUGCCAUAGAUAUAAGAUAUCGGAAAGUUGUUCCACUCAUUACUGGAGAGUAUGUCUCAUUGAAAUCAAUGCCGGGUUUCUGCGUAAAACCUUGUGCUACGAGCCUUGCUUUAUAUCUCACCACCUCAUUGUCCUCAUUCCGUUUCCGGAGGAAAACCCAUUUGAAUCCCACAGGGAAAACAUUGGGAGGUGUAGGUAUUGCUUCAGUGAAUACCUUCCUUUUGUUAAGCGAGGCAAUUUCUGCUUGGAUUGCAUCCUUCCAUUUAGGCCAGUCGGAGCGCCUUUGGCAUUCGACGAUAGACCUUGGAUCAUGAUCAGUGAUAAGGAUAUCUACAAUCUUUUCAGCAAAAUAUAUGUCGACAGUCGUAGUCUUGCGGUCAAAUGAUUCUCCAGAAUCAACAUAGUUGAUGGAAAUUUCUUGCACCCCUAGAGACUGUUCGUUAUUUCCCAAUACGAUUGAGUCUAGGUGUUCCGAUGUUCCAGCUAGUUUGUGCAUACUGGAGCUGGGUUGUGAAGGUCUCCCUUCCACUGGGUGUAAACUACCCAUAAGGUGUUCAUCAACGUUGAGUUGACUUGCAUUUACUGAUUUUGAGGAUCUUCUCCUCUCUCUCCUUUGCUGCUUGCGAGAAGCAGGUUCCGGGUCAGAGGUCGUACUACUCCCCCUCUUUUUAGGAACAGGGAGUUGAGUGGUUUUAGUUGGUACCUCCACUCUUUCGGGCGCAUUUCUGGCUGGAAUCAAGGAUUUUGUAACACCUUUUAGAUCAGUAAAUGAAUCUGGCAGAUUAUUUGCAAGAUGUUGCAAAUUGAUAAUUUUCCGAACUUGUAGUUCGGUCUCUUGAGUACGUGGAUCAGAGGCUGAAAUGGCAAUGGCAUUCCAAUCAAUUUCCGAGCAUUCUUUCUGGUACUUGAAAUCUCCCCCUAAUGCCGGAAAAUGUUCCUCAUCAAAAAUGCAAUCAGCGUGACGGGCUGUGAAUAGAUCCCCAGUAAGGGGUUCCAGGUACUUGAUAAUCGACGGCGAUCUGUACCCCACAUAGAUCCCAAGUUUCCUGUCUGGGCCCAUGGAUGUCCGCUGUGGUGGUGAGAUUGGGAUGUACGUAGCACAUCCGAACUUACGCAGAUGGGAAAUGCUGGGAGGAUUUCCACGUACCAAUUGCAGAGGGGAAGUACUGUGAUAUGCAGUAGGUCGCAAUUGGAUUAAGUCAGUAGCGUGUAAAAUUGCAUGACCCCAACACGAAGUUGGUAAGCUGCAAUUCAUUAACAAAGGUCUUGCAAUGAGUUUGAUCCUUUUAAUUAGAGAUUCGGCCAAACCAUUUUGAGUAUGAACGUAUGGGACAGAGUGCUGAACUUCAAUCCCCAAGGCCAUGCAAUAGUCAUUGAAAGCACGUGAACAAAAUUCUGCAGCAUUGUCCAUGCGAAUUGAUUUAAUUCAACUUUCUGGAUAAUGGGCCUGUAACUUAAUUACUUCCCGCAUUAUCUUGGCAAAUGCAUGGUUUCGUGUGGAUAGAAGGCACACGUGUGACCAUCGUGUAGAUGCAUCAAUCAGAACCAUGAAAUACCGAAAUGGUCCAGAUAAUGGUUGGAUAGGACCACAAAUGUCACCUUGAAUGCGUUCAAGGAAGUGAAGUGGUUCAGCUUGUAUUUUAAGGUGUGAUGGCCUUAAAAUUAGUUUCCCUGUGGCGCAGGAUGUGCACACAAAGUCUGAUGACUGAGGAAACUUUGACUCGAGCAAAUUAUGACCAAUAGAAUUGCUAGUAAUUUUCCUCAUCAUCCCAACACUGGGGUGGCCAAGGCGAUCAUGCCAAGUUUGGAAUGCAUUAACAUUCUGAAAAAUUACCUUGUAAGCAACAUGUUCUACGGGCUUGAUGUACGUAUAGUACAGUCCGGACGAUAGUGAAGGAAUUUUUUCAAGUACUUGCUUGCCAUAUCCGUAAUCUUUUGUGAAGAGUAGAAACUCUUCUGUGUUGUCCUCAUGGGUUUCAAUGUGAAAACCAUUUUUACGGAUAUCUCAAAAACUGAUUAGGGUACGGGAUGAAUCAGGAUACAGCAAGGCAUCCUCAAUUGUCACUUGUGUACCACCUCGGAGGGUAAAUAUGGCACGUCCAGUGCCAACAAUUACCGUAUCGCGUCCAACGAUUGUCAAAAUAUCUCCAUUCAUCUUUUUCAGAGUCUGAAAAUAUUUCAACUCCCUUGGUAUGGAGUUUGUGGUAGCACUGUCCACAAGGCAUAAUUCCUCUUCCAUCGGAUUGUCCCCAUAGAAAGCUAUAUAUAAAAAUGAGGAAUUUUCAAUAAGAAAGCCUUAUUUCAAUACAUAGAAUACAAUCUUAUUAUAUCAAAGUGCUGAUACAAUAUAUAAAUGACAACAAUACUUAUGUUCUAUUACAAUCAUCACACAUGGAUAUGAUUUAUUUAAUAAAUCGACCACUAAGGAGAUAAUGGGACUAAUCGAAGUCUCCAAACAUGUCGGUUGAGGUGUACUCAACCAUCAUGUUCUCCGUGUCUGUAGGAUCCUCUAAUGUAUGGAGUGUCAUGGUGUUGCUAGAUCCGGGAGGAACAUCUUGCGAACAACCAGCUCCAUUGGUGCCAUCUGGAUGAAGGUUGAAGUUGGCUUGAAACCUUUUCCCUUGAGGUACUUUGCGUCCCUGAGAUUGCUGAUACAGAAUUGCCAGAUGCUUCGGGGUCUUGCACUUAUUGGUAGGAUGCGUGUAGCAUCCACACUUGUCACAAAGCUUAGUUUGGUCAAACUUGGGCUUUGCGGUGCCUUUCCCAUGGUCCGAGUUUCUAGGCUUUCUGUUCCGGUUGCGCUUGCAUUUACCCUUGAAGUUCGAUGGCUUGCCAUGGGACGCACCAUCAAACUUUCGUCUGUUCACGACGUUCAUAUGAACUUCAGGCAGAGGUUGGGAACCAACCGGACGCUGAGAACCAUUCUUAGCGAGUAGCUCAUCAUGCUUUUCAGCCUGAAGUAGGAUAUGAAUGAGGUCGGAAUAGACUUGGUAGUCAUGAGCGCGGUACUGUUGCUGGAGGACCCUUUCAUAUGGGAGCAUAGUAGACAUAGUUUUUUCUAUCUUUUCCGCAUCAGUAGGUUCCUUCCCGCAAAAGCGUAAUUUGGAACAUAUCUUAUGAACCUCGUGAUUGUACGCCCCGAUGGACUUGAAAUCCUGGAGUCGGAUAUGCGUCCAAUCAUGGAGUGCUUCCGGCAGGACAACUGCCUUUUGCUGUUCAUACCUCGUCUUGAGGGCCUGAAACAGAGUAAGUGGGGAUUCCUCCUCCAAAUAUUCAGAUUUGAGAUCUGGGUGGAUAUGGUGCCUUAUGAUGUAUAAGGCGGCAUAUUUCUGUUCAUCUCUCAGCGGCGUGACUCCAUCCGGAAGAGGAUCUUCCGGAGUCUGGAUUGCACACACUAAUCCACGAGAUGCAAGAGCGAUCUUGAUGUCCAUGGCCCAGGUAGGAUAGUUGUGGCCAUUGAGGUCGGGUGCAUCGAACUCUCUUCCAGCCAUUGGUUACCUACAUGGGUAAACCAGAGAUUAUUAAUUUACACCAGGUAAAUUAAAACCUUCAUGGUUACGUUGUAUUGAACGUUGCAAAAUUAAUGAUAACUUCAAGAAAUGGGCUUGAAAUCAUUAGUGUGACUUUCAAAUUGUGAAGUUUGACACAUUGUAGAUACGCCCCAAACGAAAAUUCGGGGUCCAUCUCUCAGAACUAGGGAGUAUAAUCUGAUAAAAUCAGUAGAUACUCAUGUUUCUAGUACCUUAUGUCAUAACUUAAUAAAAUGUAUCGGAGGGCACAAUAUUAAGCAAUCAUCAUAUCAAUAUGAUAGAAUGUAGGCUUAAUCGUAGUGGCGAUAAUCUGCUAUGCAUUAGAUCAACACACUUCUUUGUGGUCCCAAAACAUCAAUUUGAAAGAAAAUCACUUUGGAAUUUUGCAUAUCAACUCGUGCUCGUAUUAAGCCAAAGGCUCAAUUAAGACGAGGGGUUGAUUUUUAUUUGCAAGAAAUUUGAAAUCUCAAUUACAAAUAAUAGAGGUAAUAAAUCUCAACAUGUAGCAAACAUGGAAAUAUAUAUUACAUCACAUAUGUUCUAGAAUACAAAGUACUCUACAGAAAACAAAACAGUACUAGAAAUAGACGUACUGAAAACAGGAAUUAAACAGGAUCUAAGACAGGGAUUAGUCUACUGCUAGAUCUACUGUUGAUAGUACAGGAAGUAAUCUAAAACAGAGAGCAAAUAGUGCUGGAAAAUACUACUAAAGUGUGCUGGAGUGCUGCAAGACCACAUGUGCCAUCGAACCAAGGCCACAUGUGUCCCAAGGAUGUGCACAUGUCGUCUGCAGCGUCCACUUUAUUCAAAUCACGGGAGGAUAAGGCAGAGCCAGCUCUAAAAAAACAAGAGCGGCACCGCAUCAGGCAGAGCCCCGCGCCAGGGAGAACUCCGCGUGUGCUGCUUCACAGCGUUCACCAGGGACGGGCGAGAGAGCCUCCGCCGCGCUCGUCCUCGUCUUCGUCGGAAGGCCCGCCCGGGGGCAAGGAGCGAGGCGAGGUGCCGUCCACGAGCCCAAGGGCGGCCGGGCUCCAGGANGCUCUCCAAACCUGCGGUGGAGAGCAGCGAGGCGGCGACGACGGACGUAGUUCUGCUGCAGGCGGCGAAGGUUCGUCGGCGUUGAGCGAGGCAUCCUUCUCACCUUUUGCUUCUUGCCUGUCGAUCUCAUCGAUCUCGUCGAAAGCACUCUGGAAGAGCAGUGCUGAUAACGUGUUGUAAGUUGAAUCGAGAGAGAGAUAGCGAGAGAAACAAAUGAAUCAAAUGUCACUUUAUUCCUUGAUGAUUGAACACUUUAUAUGCGAGGGAAAGACGGUUCCUGGAGGCGACGCUCCAGGAACAAUACGUCGGUUCCGCAUCGUGGGGGGAAUUCACGUGCGGUUACAUGUAGAAAUUAAUUUAACUAAUUACAUAAUUAAUUAAAUUCUAACACAGUCUACUUAGCGUUUCAGGCUAUGUAGCAACGCCAAGGCGCAUGGCGUUUCAAUGCAUGCGCUACUGUUCGCAGCAUGCAGGCAGGCAUGCACGCAUGCGCCGCUGUUCGCAGCUACUGUUUGCUACUGGUCACUGCCCCUCUCUGCUCGUUUUUGAGUCUUGCAUGCCAGCUACACUGUGUAUGGAGUCUUGCAUGCGAGCUACACUGUGUAUGGGAGAAAAAAUAAUGCCCAGUAAAGAGGAUCGGAGGGAGUACACUGCAUCCAUGCAUGCAGGCAAUGCAGAGGCAGGCACGCACACACACAUAACUAUGGGAUGUGGCUAUGGUGUGGCGUAGAGUAGCAUGGAUGAUGAGCAGGAGUAAAAUAAACUAUUGUUGCUCCUACUGGCACGGUGACACCGGCACAGUAGCUCAUGCAUGGUUAUUUGCCUCAGAAACGCCAACUCGCAUGGCGUUUCACUGAAGGCCAAAAACGCCACACUAUACAGGCAUUUCUUAAUAGGUCUGCAACGCCACGUUAGAGUGGCGUUUCUUAAUAGGGCUGCAACGUCACGGACUAUGGCGUUUUAAGAAAAUGAUCAAAACGUGAAAUUGUUUUCAAACGAGUUCGUUACGUGAUUAUCGUAGCCCCCUCGGAUCAAAACAGUGAAAAAACCCCAGAUGUUUCAAGCUACUGGCUUCCUUUAAUCCUUUCCAACAUGAUUUUUUAGGAACUUAAAAGCAAACAAUUUAAUUGCAAAUCAAUAUAUAUAUGGAUGGUCUGAGCAUCUACAACCACGGAUCCACCCCUCAAAAGUCCGCGGACGCGUCCGCGGACAUAGACCGGGCGCGUCUUAUUUUUUGCCUUUCACAUCUGCGUCUCUCAUAUUCGAAACCUCAUAUCCAUACAAAUGCAUGCAACGUCACGUAAAACAAGAGAUAACCAUUCUCCAUUGGAUUGGAUUGAUUCGUCGAACAAAAGCAUCAUAGUUCAUCGAACUUCAUCGGCAAAUUAAUACUAGAAACUACUUAAGCAUAAUUAAAAUGUACACAACACGGGGCGCUCACGGUCGAACGUCGCGCGGCCAGCGCCUCCCCCUUUCCCUCUCCCAUUGCCGCUCUAGACGCGCUGCACGCGUCUUGGACUCCGACGUCCUCUCGCGCCCCGUCCCCGACACGGGCACGAGGACCUAGCGUGGCCGGGUACCGCUUUCGAAGCAGAAGGUGGUGGAGGUG
This 13216-nucleotide long non-coding RNA is filed under the name Hordeum vulgare. RNAcentral's name for it is "long non-coding RNA (HVUL_LNC008903)". Lineage: Eukaryota; Viridiplantae; Streptophyta; Magnoliopsida; Poales; Poaceae. The record is from RNAcentral.